UACGAAGGGGGCUAGCGUUGCUCGGAAUCACUGGGCGUAAAGCGCACGUAGGCGGCUUUUUAAGUCAGGGGUGAAAUCCUGGAGCUCAACUCCAGAACUGCCUUUGAUACUGGGAAGCUUGAGUCCGGGAGAGGUGAGUGGAACUCCGAGUGUAGAGGUGAAAUUCGUAGAUAUUCGCAAGAACACCAGUGGCGAAGGCGGCUCACUGGCCCGAUACUGACGCUGAGGUGCGAAAGCGUGGGGAGCAAACAGG
This 253-nucleotide ribosomal RNA is filed under the name uncultured bacterium. RNAcentral describes it as "partial 16S ribosomal RNA". It matches the Rfam family "Bacterial small subunit ribosomal RNA", at positions 524 to 776 of the family's 1533-position model. The record is from RNAcentral.